RNAcentral lists this ribosomal RNA (376 nucleotides) under uncultured marine eukaryote. Its description in RNAcentral is "SSU rRNA". It matches the Rfam family "Eukaryotic small subunit ribosomal RNA", at positions 617 to 997 of the family's 1831-position model. The record is from RNAcentral.
GGUUAUAAAGCUCGUAGUUGGAUUUCUGCCGAGGACGACCGGUCCGCCCUCUGGGUGAGUAUCUGGCUCGGCCUGGGCAUCUUCUUGGAGAACGUAUCUGCACUUGACUGUGUGGUGCGGUAUCCAGGACUUUUACUUUGAGGAAAUUAGAGUGUUUCAAGCAGGCACACGCCUUGAAUACAUUAGCAUGGAAUAAUAAGAUAGGACCUCGGUUCUAUUUUGUUGGUUUCUAGAGCUGAGGUAAUGAUUAAUAGGGAUAGUUGGGGGCACUCGUAUUUAACCGUCAGAGGUGAAAUUCUUGGAUUUGUUAAAGACGGACUACUGCGAAAGCAUUUGCCAAGGAUGUUUUCAUUGAUCAAGAACGAAAGUUAGGGGA